RNAcentral lists this ribosomal RNA (510 nucleotides) under uncultured bacterium. Its description in RNAcentral is "bacterial SSU rRNA". It matches the Rfam family "Bacterial small subunit ribosomal RNA", at positions 29 to 514 of the family's 1533-position model. The record is from RNAcentral.
AACGAACGCUGGCGGCGUGCCUAAUACAUGCAAGUCGAGCGAGAAAGUGGCUUCGGUCAUGAGUAAAGCGGCAGACGGGUGAGUAAUACAUAGGUAACCUUCCCUCAAGAUGAGGACAACCUUCCGAAAGGAGGGCUAAUACUGAAUGAGACCACAGUGACACAAGUCACAGGGGUUAAAGACGGCCUCUAUUUAUAAGCUUUCGCUUGAGGAUGGGCUUAUGCACCAUUAGCUAGUUGGUAGGGUAAUGGCCUACCAAGGCUUCGAUGGUUAGCUGAUCUGAGAGGUUGAUCAGCCACACUGGAACUGAGACACGGUCCAGACUCCUACGGGAGGCAGCAGUAGGGAAUAUUGCGCAAUGGAGGAAACUCUGACGCAGCGACGCCGCGUGGGUGACGAAGGGUCUUCGGAUCGUAAAGCCCUGUCGGAGGGGACGAAAGACACCAAGAUAAUACCUUGGUGGGAUGACGGUACCCUUAAAGGAAGCACCGGCUAACUACGUGCCAGCAG